RNAcentral lists this long non-coding RNA (2485 nucleotides) under Anolis carolinensis (green anole). RNAcentral's name for it is "lncRNA (ENSACAG00000040563.1)". Lineage: Eukaryota; Metazoa; Chordata; Lepidosauria; Squamata; Anolidae. The record is from RNAcentral.
UUGGAAGAAUACAGUGUCCCAUUUCAUACUCUCUACAACUUUAUGUACAGUAGAGUCUCACUUAUCCAAGCUAAACAGGCCGGCAGAACCUUGGAUAAGUGAAUAUUUUGGAUAAUAAGGAGGAAUUAAGGAAAUGCCUAUUAAACGUCAAAUUAGGUUAUGAUUUUACAAAUUAAACAUCUAAACAUCAUGUUAUACCACAAAUUUGACAGAAAAAGUAGUUCAAUACACAGUAAUGCUAUGUAGUAAUUACUGUAUUUACGAAUUUAGCACCAAAAUAUCAUGAUAUAUUGAAAACAUUGACUACAAAAAUGCCUUGGAUAAUCCAGAACCUUGGAUAAGCGAGUCUUGGAUAAGUGAGACUCUACUGUACUUCUUCUAAAGUAUCCCAUUUCACCCACUCUAGAACUUUAUGUACUUCUUCCAAAGUGCCCUAUUUCAACCUCUCAAUAACUUUAUUUAGUUCUCCCAAAGUGCUCCAUUUCAUACUUUCAAGAAUUUGGUCUACUUCUUCUAUCUUAAGUGUCUUCCACUCAGGAAACCAAUGACUUGAGAGCCAUAUUUUCAUUAUCCCUUUCCAAUUCUGACCUAUCUGCUGCAGGAUCAAUCCCAGGUGGUUUCACAUUCAUCAUUAUUAAUGGUGGUUGGGGUGUGAACUGGUUGAGCUGCACAUCUCUACAUAUUUGCAAUGAGAUUUAAUAGCAUUCCCAGUUUGCACUCUUAGCUUCUGUCCAGUUCACAAACAUAUGGCAACCCUAUCUAAGAGUUCUUUUGGACACGUUUAUUCAGAAGACUUUCUCCAUUACCUUCUUCUUAGGAUGAGAAAAUGGACUUGGCCAUUCUGAGUUGGUUUCCAUGUCUUAACAGGGAUGUGAGCCGAUAGUCCAGUACUCAACCUCUUACACCAUAUUGUCUCCUAGCUCCAACACUGUUUAGGUUAACUCACCCUUUACUACACUGAUUUGACUUGGGUUGAGGCCAGCUAAAAGUGUUGGUACUUUGUUCUGGUGGAGAGCAUCAAGAAAUGCCAAAUCCUGAAGACGAGAUCUUUUGGAGUCUGCACAUAUCUUGAUUCCCAUCUGCCUUUUCCUUGUCUCUCCAGAGGGUUUGCCACACAAGAAACAGCCCAAAGGCCUCUCCGGAGGAGCCAUUGCUGGGAUUUUUGUGAUUUGCGUCGUUUUUGCCUCCGCCGUUGCUAUCGUCACCUCCUACAAAAUCAUCGCCAGUUCAAUGGGGCGCAACAACGAGCUGUCUUAAUCCAGAAUAUUGCCAAACUGGGAAGGAGCGCCAACCAGGCCCAUCUUUCGUCCAGGAGAGAAGCUGCGUCCAUAUGGAAGCCAUGACGAAAUGGUUCCGGGCAUUUGGUCCAGUACCUAAAUCUAUCCAGAACCCCAAAACAAAACCUGAUUUAUCCCCAUGUUCAAAAAAAAUACAUGCUUUAAGACAUAGUCCUUUCUCUGUGUUUACUCUUUUUGGAAGGGAUUAGACGGAAAGUGGGGUAUUAAUAAUGACACCAACUAUGAUUGGGAUUAAUAUAAUCAUGUCUUUUUGCCUGUCCUAAUAUUGAAGUCCAUGUAGGUACAGUAAAACCAUACAUCUAUGAUAACAUAUAACGUUCCUAGCCAGAUUGUGUUUACCUAAAAUCAUAGAUAUGAGUAUAACACUAUUCUAUUACCAAACCUAUGGGUCCAGAACAGGGGCGGCUCAGGCUAUAUGCAAACUAAGCAUUUGCAAUUAUUAACUAGCCAGAUAUCCUUUUUGGGAAUUUGCUAGGUCCUGUAGCACAACUUUAUAGUAACAUCCAGGGGAAGCAUACCAUAGAGUUGCCUGGAGGACCAUUCUGUGGCAUUAAAAUGUAAUUAAAUCAGGAUAGGUUAAGGGUUUUCCCCUGACAUUCAGUCUAGUCAUGUCUGGGAGUUGGUGCUCAUCUCCAUUUCGAAACCAAAGAGCCGGUAUUGUCCGUAGACACCUCCAAGGUCAUGUGGCCACUGCAGGACUGCAUGGAGCACCGUUACCUUCUCAUCGGAGCAGUACCUAUUGAUGUACUCACAUUUGCAUGUUUUUGAACUGCUAGGUUGUCAGAAGCUGGGGCCAACAGUGGGAGCUCACCCCGCUCUCCGGUUUCAAAUCGCCAACCUUUCGGUCAGCAAGUUCUGCAGCUCAGCUGUUUAACUUGCUGUGCCACCAGGGGCUCCAAAUCAGGAGAUACACACACACACACACACAUAUAUAUAUAUAUACCUAUACUGUACAUAUACAUAUGUGUGUGUGUGUGUAUGUGUGUGUAUGUAUGUAUAUAUAUAUAUAUAUAUAUAUGGAAAGGUUAAUAAAUCAAGAUAUAGACUUGGCCCAAAUGUCAUGGUGGAAUGAGGUCAAAUGGGGAUUUGGCUUCUAGACUCUCCGUAGUCUAGAACCCAAAUUAGAUCUAAGCACAUUAUUUAUUUAUUUAUUUAUUUAUUUAUUUAUUUAUUUAUUUAUGCCUCCA